Molecule: non-coding RNA, 634 nt
Organism: Chrysemys picta bellii (western painted turtle)
Lineage: Eukaryota; Metazoa; Chordata; Testudines; Emydidae
Source: RefSeq, a predicted model, not a curated record
CCAGGGAAGAGGAUCAGCACUGCCCUGAGUCCCGUUUUCAGCCGGGGACGGUUUAGAAGGAACUGAGGGGGGUGCGGGACACGGGCACUCAGGAAGAUUCCAACGAGAUGGGAGAUACCAACUGAGCACGUGUGUCCCAACCAGGCACUGCUACCGAAAAUCUCCGAUCAAUGGCACCGGGAUGCUCCGACACCUAGAGUGGAACACCCACAGGGACAGCACUCGAAGAAAACAGACUUCUGGGAUGGAGAAGAAUUACAAGAAAACGUGUUCCAUUAUCUUUACAUCAUCAUCAUCAUCAAAUGGAGAAAUCUGAACCACUCCUUCCUGUGAGGUAAGGAUCGAGAGAAUUUCUUGAGACAAUUUUUCAUGCUUAUUUUCUGCACAUGUAUCUGCGAUCUUCUUCCAACCUUCCAAGGUACAGACCGUAUCAUUUAAAAUAACUUGUUCCAGUGCAUCUGAUGAAGAAAAAAAUAUCAUGUAGUGGCACAGUAUUUGCCCUCAAUCAGUUUCUGCUUUGCUCAUAUUAAACAAAGAACAGAAAGAGGUAUGAUCUUAGGGGAUAAUAUGACUACAGAUCAAUAAUUCUUUUUCCAGUUAGAUAAAUUCUAAGGUCAAGGACCAAAUAAAGAGA